GACGAACGCUGGCGGCGUGCUUAACACAUGCAAGUCGAACGGAAAGGCCCUGCUUUUGUUGGGUGCUCGUGUGGCGCACGUGUGUGUAACACGUGAGUAACCUGCCCUUUACUUUGUGAUAACUUCAGGAAACUGGGGCUACUACCGGAUAGGAGCUCCUGCUGCAUGGUGGGGGUUGGACAGUUUCGGCGGGUGGGGAUGGACUCGCGGCUUAUCAGCUUGUUGGUGGAGUAGUGGCUUACCAAGGCUUUGACGGGUAGCCUGCCUGAGAGGGUGACCGGGGACAAGGGGACUAAGGGAGGGACCAGAGGCGAACGGGAGGCAGCAGGGGAGAAUAGUGCAAAAUGGGCGGAAGCCGGAAAGAGCAACGCCGGGUGCGAGAUGACGGCCGUUGGGGAGUAAACCGCUUGCGCCAGUAACGCAGAGGGAGUGACGGUAAUGGAUAAAGAAGCACCGGCUAACUACGUG
This 468-nucleotide ribosomal RNA is filed under the name uncultured bacterium. Its description in RNAcentral is "partial 16S ribosomal RNA". It matches the Rfam family "Bacterial small subunit ribosomal RNA", at positions 28 to 507 of the family's 1533-position model. The record is from RNAcentral.